GUGACCUGCGGAGGAUCAUUAAAAAUUCAAUGACAUUAGGGUAAAUUGAUAAAUCCCAUAUAGAAGUGUAACAGCCCCUUCAGAAAUGAGGGGGGUGUCUUCGCGGGAUGUACGGUAAAAGUCCGUAGCCUUUUUUGGUAUUACCACAACUCUUCUGUGUACCUAUUACUUGUUGCUUCCCUGGGGUAACUCAGGGAAGGCAUACAUACACUCUGCUUAUUGAAGUCAGUCUGAACUUGUUUAUUUAUAAACGUUAAAACUUUCAACAACGGAUCUCUUGGUUCUCGCAUCGAUGAAGAACGCAGCGAAAUGCGAUAAGUAGUGUGAAUUGCAGAAUUCAGUGAAUCAUCGAAUCUUUGAACGCACAUUGCGCCCUCUGGUAUUCCGGAGGGCAUGCCUGUUCGAGCGUCAUCAAAACUACUCAAGCUAAGGUUUACCUUCUGCUUGGUCUUGGAAUUGGAAUUGAAUUUUUCCUUUCUGAAAUACAGUGGCGAAUUGACUGUGCUGUAAACGUAGUAACUUUACCCGUUGAAAGCAUGUUCACAUUCCGCCAUAACCCCCUCUAUUUUCUAGUUUGACCUCGGAUCAGGUAGGGAUACCCGCUGAACUUAAGCAUAUCAAUAAGCGGAGGAAAAGAAACCAACAGGGAUUGCCUUAGUAACUGCGAGUGAAGCGGCAAAAGCUCAAAUUUGAAAUCUGGGGCCUCACAGCCUCCGAAUUGUAAUUUCGCGAUACGUUUUCGACUGAAGGCUCUGCUUUAAGUUCCUUGGAACAGGACGUCACAGAGGGUGAGAAUCCCGUGAUAGGUGGAGCCUGAUGCAUAUGAUACGUAUUCAACGAGUCGAGUUGUUUGGGAAUGCAGCUCAAAAUGGGUGGUAAAUUUCAUCUAAAGCUAAAUAUUGGCGAGAGACCGAUAGCGCACAAGUAGAGUGAUCGAAAGAUGAAAAGCACUUUGAAAAGAGAGUUAAAAAGUACGUGAAAUUGUUGAAAGGGAAGCGCUUGAGACCAGACUCAAUCUGUGGUGAUCAACUUGGCUUCUGUCAGGUGCACUUGCCACUUAUUGGGACAGCAUCGGUUUUGGCGGUGGGAUAAAGUCUUGAGGAAUGUAGCUAUCUUCGGGUAGUGUUAUAGCCUCUUGAGUAAUGCUACCAGCCGGGACCGAGGACCGCGCUCGG
Molecule: ribosomal RNA, 1175 nt
Filed under: Pezizomycetes sp. 11252
Lineage: Eukaryota; Fungi; Ascomycota; Pezizomycetes
Description: eukaryotic LSU rRNA
Rfam family: Eukaryotic large subunit ribosomal RNA (bases 576-1175)
Source: RNAcentral